UACGAAGGUGGCAAGCGUUACUCGGAAUUACUAGGCGUAAAGGGCAGGUAGGUGGUUUGGUAAGUCUGUUGUGAAAGCUCCCGGCUUAACUGGGAGAGGUCAAUAGAUACUGCCGAACUUGAGUAUAGGAGAGGUUACUGGAAUUCCCGGUGUAGCGGUGAAAUGCGCAGAGAUCGGGAGGAACACCAAUGGCGAAAGCAGGUAACUGGACUAUUACUGACGCUAAGCUGCGAAAGCUAGGGGAGCAAACAGGAUUAGAAACCCCCGUAGUCC
Molecule: ribosomal RNA, 273 nt
Filed under: uncultured bacterium
Lineage: Bacteria
Description: partial 16S ribosomal RNA
Rfam family: Bacterial small subunit ribosomal RNA
Source: RNAcentral